This 624-nucleotide ribosomal RNA is filed under the name Halopteris sibogae. RNAcentral's name for it is "partial 16S ribosomal RNA". It matches the Rfam family "Bacterial large subunit ribosomal RNA", at positions 1830 to 2598 of the family's 2925-position model. Lineage: Eukaryota; Metazoa; Cnidaria; Hydrozoa; Leptothecata; Halopterididae. The record is from RNAcentral.
ACCCUAAUUAAAUAUUUAGGGCGUUGCCUGCCCGGUGAUUUAUACGCCUAGACCAAAAAUCUAAUAAUUAAGUUUAACGGCCGCUGUAUUCUGACGGUGAUAAUGUAGGAAAAUAAAUAGUUGUUUGAUUGACGAACGUAGGUGAAUGGCUUCACGAGGUUUCCACUGUCUUAAUGGUAUACCCUUAGAAAUUUAAAUAACAGUGAAGAUGCUGUUUAAAACUGUAAGACGAGAAGACCCUAUAAAGCUUAACUAUAUUCUAUAUUACUUUAGUGAGGAUUAAGAACAAUUUUUACUGAAAUUUUAAUUAGGAGGUUAGUUUCGUUGGGGCAACGGCAUUUUAAAAAAAAAGAAUAGCAACCAAAACAUGUGCUGUUAAUACUUAAAAAUGUAGCACUUAUUGUUUAAUUAAACAAUUUAACAAUCACAAAGUGGGGUUAGUGACCUGUCAUUAGUACAAAAUUUCAAUGACAAUAAAUUAAUAAAAGCUACUUUAGGGAUAACAGGUUAAUUUUAUCUUAGAGAUGGUAUCGAAGAUAAAGUUUGACACCUCGAUGUUGAAUUAAGUUACCCUGGUAAUGCAGCAGUUACCGAAGGUUGGUCUGUUCGACCAUUAAAAAUCUU